RNAcentral lists this transfer RNA (88 nucleotides) under Myxococcales bacterium. RNAcentral describes it as "tRNA-Ser". It matches the Rfam family "tRNA". Rfam says of the family: Transfer RNA (tRNA) molecules are approximately 80 nucleotides in length. Their secondary structure includes four short double-helical elements and three loops (D, anti-codon, and T loops). The record is from RNAcentral. Lineage: Bacteria; Pseudomonadati; Myxococcota; Myxococcia; Myxococcales.
GGAGAGGUGGCCGAGCGGUUGAAGGCAGCGGUCUUGAAAACCGCCAGGGCGCAAGCCCUCGAGGGUUCGAAUCCCUCCCUCUCCGCCA